This is a non-coding RNA of Neofelis nebulosa (Clouded leopard), 2199 nucleotides long. Lineage: Eukaryota; Metazoa; Chordata; Mammalia; Carnivora; Felidae. The record is from the annotation of a RefSeq genome assembly.
CCCCUGCAGGCUGUCAUGAGGGGGAGGGGAGCCCGGUCCUGCAGGUGUCCUGGGAUGACUCUAGGGCACAGAUUGGAGGCUAGAAGAGGAAGGGGGAUGCUGCCUCAGGUGGAGAGAAUGUCGCUUCCCCGGAGCUGAGCAAGUGGAGAUGUGGACGGGAAGGACCGGAUUAGGAGGGCUGGCCAUCCCUGCCCGCAGUGGCUCUCGAUGUCACACUGGUGUCCAAAAGGGAGAUCUUUGUGUCCUCGCCACACCUCUCCCCGAACCUAGAACCGUCCGCCCGGAUGCCCGACAGAAAAGCCUGGGACACAUUUCCCCAUAGCCCGCUGUGUCCAGUCUGUGACCGAGUCCUGCUGGCUGUUUCUGCCGAACGGGUCUCAGGUCCCCCCCAUCGCUCACCGGCCUGGCCCAGGCAGUCCUGGGUCCCCUCCUCACUGCUGUCGCUGCUCCCAUCCUGCCACCUGUUUUCCAUCCUCCACACGGCAACCACAGUAUCCUUUUAAAUCACGUCGGCGAGGCCACCUGGUCCUGUGUUCACGGUCUCCAAUGGCUUCCGGUCGCACUCAGAAUAGAGUCAGCAGCAUUACCUUGAACCACAGGCUUUUCCCCAUCUGGACCUCUUUGCCCAUGAUGCUGGAGUCCUACAGAUCUCUCAGCCUCUCAAGCCGGGCGGCCCUUCAUCUCUCUGACGGGCCCAUCUCGGAGGACGACCCCGGGAAACCCGGUGCCUUUCAACUGUACCGCCGGCCCCUUCAGCUCCUGGGAUUUCAAUGUCACCUGGAUGAAGGGCAGCGAUGAGCAUCCAGCCUCAGCCCAGCACCUGGUGACCAACAACCAAGGCAACUACUUCGUUACCAGUAAGGUGUGGGUGACCCUGACCCUCCAGGAUCUCUUACUGGAGAUCACUUGCGAAGUCACCCACAGGGCGCUGGGAGAGCCUCUGCAAAAGACCAUGAACCUCUUCCAAGUGCUCCAAGUUGUCCCCACCCUGAAGAUCACCACCAAGACCUCCGGGACGUACAUCCACGUGCAACAGAGAGUGAAUCUCACCUGCCACGCGAGCCACUUCUACCCCUCCCACCUACGUCUCCCCUGGAUGGAGAACAGACACCAGGUCCACACGGUGGAGUCCCCACAGGUCACGAGAAACCCAGAUAGUACCUACUCUCUGAAGCACACGUGGCAGGCGGAGGCCACGCUGGACGGGAGCAAGUUUGCUUGCUGGGUGGUCCAGGAUGAGCAGCCACCUGUCCGGGCCAACAUCACCCUGCAGGCCCAGGCACCCAGGCUGGGGAAAGGCCGGAGCACCUACUCCUACUCCUUGCAAGGCCCCCUUCAGCGAUCUGAGCCGGGGAAGAGCAUCCAGCUGACCUACGUGUCCUCCGGGUUCCCGUCGCGCCACAUUACCGUGACCUGGUUUAAAAAGAACCACAAGCUCCCAAAGACGCAGACCUACGUCCACCCCAGUGGGGACACACACAAUGUGACCAGCCGAGUGCUCGUCCUGCUGCAAGCGGACGAUGUGCUCUCCUUCGUCCAAUGCCACGUCAGUCAUAAAUCCACACCGGUCUUCCAGAAAGCCAUCAGCCUGGACCAGUACCUCCGUGUUCCCCCUACAGUGACAGUGUCCCAGUCUUCACCCUCCUCGGACUUGGUGGUUGUCACCUGCCGCGUGCAGAGAUUCUAUCCACAGAGUGUGCAUCUCACCUGGACGGAGAACUGCCAUACGAUCGAGGGAGCUGAGCAACUCCCAUCCAAGCAGAAUAGCGAUGGGACCUACGCCCUGGAAAGCUUGCGUUUGGUGAACGUGUCAGGGCCGGGGUCCGAGCAGGUGCUCACCUGUAAGGUGCAGCACGAGACCCAACCUCCCAUCCAGGCCAGCCUCAUACUGUCUGCGGAAGCACACGGCACAUACAAGCCCAUCGGAAGCUCAGGUCCCGAGAUGCCUGCCUCAUCUUUGUGGCAUUCCUUCUGGGCUUCAAGGUGCUGCUGGCGAUGAGUUUCAUAGUCACCUACAUCUGCACGUGGCGGAGCCGGUAACAGGCUGAAAUGUCAGAGAGAAGUGAUUGCCAUCCAGACCUGACGGUCCACAAGCAUAAAGCAUUUACUGUCCCGCCAUCUAAGACAAAGCUCGCCAACUCCUGAGAGACAAUAUUUAAAGACAAACAAUCCCAUUUUAUAAGUGCAUGAAAGAUUUGA